This is a long non-coding RNA of Magallana angulata, 2018 nucleotides long. RefSeq lists it as uncharacterized. The record is from RefSeq and is a predicted model, not a curated record. NCBI's taxonomy places the organism in Eukaryota, Metazoa, Mollusca, Bivalvia, Ostreida, Ostreidae. The transcript has 5 exons.
UCCGACUUUCAAUUGUUUUCUCAAACCAAAUGAAACAGACGCUUACUUUAUUUUAAAGACAGAUAGAAUACAAAUGUCCAUCGUUUGAUAAAUGGCACUUGUAACGAGUAUAUAAUAUAACCCUUAUUUAUAUACACAAGGUUCCCAGAUUUUGGCUCUAUACAAACAAUAUCAUAGUAUUGUUCGUCCACACCAAUACAUGUUGAUGUACAUACCAUUCAUACAUUCUCCUCAAGAGAAGGUCUACCGUUAGAAGCCUUGAUAACUGCUUAUAUUACGUGUGAUUGGGGACCUGUUGAUGAAUACAAAUUAAAAAUGCAACAAAGCAAAACUACGCAUUAUCUGUCAAUUUCUGCUGACGAGUUCUGAUUAAUAAACCAUUGGCUGUGGAGGAGGCUGGCGAGACAUGAGACUAUGAAGUCUCUGACCUUCCGUGAUCAGUACUAUCCCCACGCCAGGGUGAGAAGCGGAAACAUGGACCUCGAAGUCCAAAUCUAUCAAAAGUCUUUUUUUAUUGUGGUCAACCCCCUUAGAGGACUUGAAUGAACAGCUGCAACUCAAAGUAGGCCAUGUAUGUCAUUCACGCUCUUUUUCCCGCGACAUAUCAUUUCUCUUUCGGACACCCUCGGCCGUCAUUCUCUUUAUGGCUGCAUGCUUCAAAGCGUUUGAUGGAUGUGAAAGGUGCCGACUCUGGCCUCGUGCUGCCCAGCUCUGUAGUUAGGUAAUACAACGUCUGGUCCGUCACCCCGGGACAAAUUCUGUCAGCGGCAAUGGCCCUCCUGUCUGACCACAGGUAAUGUUUUGAUGGACCCCGUCAGUGACAUGCUGAUAAGGACUAGAGAUGGGUGACAUUGGUUCCCAAAAGUUGUGUGCAGAAUGAAGUCAGUUUUGGCAACCCUGCUAUGGCAUGUUUUAAAACGUUAAAGCAGAAGCAGACAAAGCCAGAAACUCGCCAUCGUCCCAAAAAUAGAACCAGAAAUGACGUCUGCCAGAAUUCUAAAAACUGGUUCAAUGGAAUAAAAGAUUAAGAAUUGAGAAAAUUAGAUAUCUAUGUCCACAGAGAUCUCCUUUGGAAGAAGAUUGGUGAAUGGAGACAAUAUGCACAUACUGGUAACUAUAGCGAUAGUAGUGAAGGACACAAGGUCAGAUUCUGAUAACAAGGUCACUGAACUUUAAACACAGUGUGUUUCCUGUAGGUCAAGAUGUUGACUGUUAUUAGUGCUACACAGUACUUUAGUAGUACAUGUACUUUGUCAAUUUAAGGCAUAUCUUGCGUCACAGAGUGCAGAAAAUAGUAUUUUGCAACUCGGCAGAAAAUACUCAUUGACCUUGAGUAGACGGUCCAGCCCUGUUGAUAGAGUGAAGGACAGAUCCUUGACACCUCUCUACAUUUCCCUCCACUAAGUAGAGGGUAAGCCAUUGCACUUGGUGUAUAAAUGGAAAUGGAGGAAAGAACGAGGAUAUAAAAUAAACAAAUGUGGCCGCAAACAAAUGAGGACUUGAUCCUGGGACCACUGGCUAUAUCACACAGGCUCCGCUUGGCUGAUGUGAUGGGGCACCUGUUAGUAUCAGUUGACCUUUGCCAGUGACCAAUGCUAUACCAACAUUGUAAUAGAAGACUAUAAAGCUAGCCAUAGUGUAAUAGAAGACUGCAAAGCUACACCAUAUUGUAAUAGAAGACUGCAAAGCUAUGCCAUAUUGUAAUAGAGGACUGCUAAGCUACACCAUAUUGCAUAAGAAGUCUGCAAAGCUAUACCAUAUUGUAAUAGAAGACUGCAAAACCACGCCAUAUUGUAAUAGAAGACUGCAAAGCUACAUCAUAUUGUAAUAGGAAACUGCAAAGCUACAGCAUAUGGUAAUAGGUGACUGCAAAACUACAUCAUAUGGUAAUAGAAGACUGCAAAGCUACACCAUAUGGUAAUAGAAGACUGCAAAGCUACACCAUAUUGUAAUAGCAGACUGCAAAGCUACACCAUAUGGUAAUAAAAGACUGCAAAACUACGUCAUAUGGUAAUAGA